ACCUAGCCCUGAUAGAAGCGAAAAUCCUUAUAUGCCGGGGUUCGGCAUAUAAGAUUGAAGUAAAUAGCAGGAUACAGC
This 78-nucleotide small RNA is filed under the name Flavobacterium degerlachei. RNAcentral's name for it is "Flavo-1 RNA". It matches the Rfam family "Flavo-1 RNA". The record is from RNAcentral. Lineage: Bacteria; Pseudomonadati; Bacteroidota; Flavobacteriia; Flavobacteriales; Flavobacteriaceae.